GGGGUUGGGGCUCAGUGGUAGAGCACUCAUCUGGAAUGUGUAAGGCACUGGGUUUGAUCCUCAGAACCACA
Molecule: transfer RNA, 71 nt
Filed under: Marmota monax (woodchuck)
Lineage: Eukaryota; Metazoa; Chordata; Mammalia; Rodentia; Sciuridae
Description: tRNA.Ser
Source: RNAcentral